RNAcentral lists this ribosomal RNA (416 nucleotides) under uncultured bacterium. Its description in RNAcentral is "partial 16S ribosomal RNA". It matches the Rfam family "Bacterial small subunit ribosomal RNA", at positions 360 to 774 of the family's 1533-position model. The record is from RNAcentral.
AAUAUUGGGCAAUGGAGGCAACUCUGACCCAGCCAUGCCGCGUGAAGGAUGAAGGCCUUCGGGGUGGUAAACUUCUUUUUUAUGGGAGGAAAGGACGCUUGCGAGAGGCGUUGACGGUACCAUAUGAAUAAGCACCGGCUAACUCCGUGCCCGCAGCCGCGGUAAUACGGAGGGUGCAAGCGUUGUCCGGAUUUAUUGGGUUUAAAGGGUGCGUAGGCGGCUUUAUAAGUCAGUGGUGAAAGACUGUGGCUCAACCAUCGAAUUGCCAUUGAUACUGUAGAGCUUGAGUAUAGUUGAGGUAGGCGGAAUUGACGGUGUAGCGGUGAAAUGCAUAGAUAGCGUCAGGAACACCGAUUGCGUAGGCAGCUUACUAAGCUAUAAAUGACGCUGAGGCACGAAAGUGUGGGGAUCAAACA